GACCUUGACUUUAUUUUCAUGGUUUAUUGGUCAAUUUUAAAUAUCUCAGAAUUGGUCUAUUUUUUAGAUUCGAUAAUAAAGGUAUAGUUUAACUGUAUUUAAUGUACAAAAUAAUUAUAAGGCGCGCAUGUUUUAUAAGGUUUGUUUCUCAGAUACAUUUGGUUCUUCAAUACAGCAAGAAAAUCUCGCACCCAAAGGCGCGCUUCAGCUGGCCC
This 215-nucleotide long non-coding RNA is filed under the name Mytilus galloprovincialis (Mediterranean mussel). Lineage: Eukaryota; Metazoa; Mollusca; Bivalvia; Mytilida; Mytilidae. The record is from RNAcentral.